This 376-nucleotide ribosomal RNA is filed under the name uncultured organism. RNAcentral describes it as "partial 16S ribosomal RNA". It matches the Rfam family "Bacterial small subunit ribosomal RNA", at positions 526 to 896 of the family's 1533-position model. The record is from RNAcentral.
GUAGGUGGGCAAGCGUUGUCCCGGGAAUUAUUGGGCGUAAAGCGCGCGCAGGGCGGUCCUUUAAGUCUGAUGUGAAAGCCCACGGCUCAACCGUGGAGGGUCAUUGGAAACUGGGGGACUUGAGUACAGAAGAGGAAAGCGGAAUUCCAAGUGUAGCGGUGAAAUGCGUAGAGAUUUGGAGGAACACCAGUGGCGAAGGCGGCUUUCUGGUCUGUAACUGACGCUGAGGCGCGAAAGCGUGGGGAGCAAACAGGAUUAGAUACCCUGGUAGUCCACGCCGUAAACGAUGAGUGCUAAGUGUUAGGGGGUUUCCGCCCCUUAGUGCUGCAGCUAACGCAUUAAGCACUCCGCCUGGGGAGUACGGCCGCAAAGGCUG